RNAcentral lists this ribosomal RNA (253 nucleotides) under uncultured bacterium. RNAcentral describes it as "partial 16S ribosomal RNA". It matches the Rfam family "Bacterial small subunit ribosomal RNA", at positions 524 to 776 of the family's 1533-position model. The record is from RNAcentral.
UACGUAGGCAGCGAGCGUUGUUCGGAGUUACUGGGCGUAAAGGGUGUGUAGGCGGUUCUUUAAGUUUGGGGUGAAAUCUCCCGGCUCAACUGGGAGGGUGCGCCGAAUACUGAGGGACUAGAGUACGGGAGAGGAAAGUGGAAUUCCUGGUGUAGCGGUGAAAUGCGUAGAUAUCAGGAGGAACACCGGUGGCGAAGGCGGCAUCCUGGACCGGUAUUGACGCUGAGGCGCGAAAGCUAGGGGAGCAAACGGG